RNAcentral lists this ribosomal RNA (490 nucleotides) under uncultured bacterium. RNAcentral's name for it is "partial 16S ribosomal RNA". It matches the Rfam family "Bacterial small subunit ribosomal RNA", at positions 29 to 507 of the family's 1533-position model. The record is from RNAcentral.
AAUGAACGCUGGCGGCAUGCCUUACACAUGCAAGUCGAACGGCAGCAUGGCCUAGCUUGCUAGGUUGAUGGCGAGUGGCGAACGGGUGAGUAAUGCAUCGGAACGUGCCUUUUAGUGGGGGAUAACGUAGCGAAAGUUACGCUAAUACCGCAUAUUCUCUGAGGAGGAAAGCAGGGGACCUUCGGGCCUUGCGCUAGAAGAGCGGCCGAUGUCGGAUUAGCUAGUUGGUGAGGUAAAGGCUCACCAAGGCAACGAUCCGUAGCGGGUCUGAGAGGAUGAUCCGCCACACUGGGACUGAGACACGGCCCAGACUCCUACGGGAGGCAGCAGUGGGGAAUUUUGGACAAUGGGCGCAAGCCUGAUCCAGCCAUGCCGCGUGAGUGAAGAAGGCCUUCGGGUUGUAAAGCUCUUUCGGCUGGGAAGAAAUCGCACCCUCUAAUACAGGGUGUGGAUGACGGUACCAGCAGAAGAAGCACCGGCUAACUACGUG